Molecule: ribosomal RNA, 440 nt
Filed under: uncultured bacterium
Lineage: Bacteria
Description: partial 16S ribosomal RNA
Rfam family: Bacterial small subunit ribosomal RNA
Source: RNAcentral
CCUACGGGUGGCAGCAGUGGGGAAUAUUGCACAAUGGGGGAAACCCUGAUGCAGCGACGUCGCGUGAGUGAAGAAGUAUCUCGGUAUGUAAAGCUCUAUCAGCAGGGAAGAAAAUGACGGUACCUGAUUAAGAAGCCCCGGCUAACUACGUGCCAGCAGCCGCGGUAAUCCGGAGGGGGCAAGCGUUAACCGGGUUUACUGGGUGGAAAGGGAGCGUAGAUGGGAGCACAAGUCUGGAGUGAAAUGCCGGGGCUUAACCCCGGAACUGCCUUGGAAACUGUUCAGCUAGAGUGCAGGAGAGGUAAGUGGAAUGCCUAGUGUAGCGGUGAAAUGCGUAGAUAUUAGGAGGAACACCAGUGGCGAAGGCGGCUUACUGGACUGUAACUGACGUUGAGGCUCGAAAGCGUGGGGAGCAAACAGGAUUAGAUACCCCGGUAGUC